AUAGAGCGAGAAAGAAUAGAGAGAAUAAGAGAAAAAGAAGAAGAAUCUUAUGUUACUACAAUAUUGCGGUAUCCAAUUUCCUACUAAGGUAAGGGGUAUUAUUUCUUUCGUAUUCAUGAAGAGAGCUUCUGUUAUUCCAUUCUUUAUUAUUAUGUUGGAAUAACCUGUCUAUGCGAAGUACCGCAUACAUGGCAAAAUUCUUCUAUUAUUCUAUUCUUUAUUAUCCUGUUGGAAUAUCCUGUUUGUGCGGAUUACGCUAGGCCUGGUUCCAUUCUUUAUUAUUUUGUUGGAAUAACCUGUCUGUGCGGUCUAUCGCAUGCAUGGUGAAUUCUGUUGUUAUUCCAUUAUUUAUUAUUCUGUUGGAAUAUCCUGUCGGUGCGAAUUUUGCCUGACCUGGUUCCGUUCUUUAUUAUUCUGUCGGAAUAUCCUGUCUGUGCGUUUACGCAUGACUUGAUUCCAUUCUUUAUUAUUUUGUUGGGAAUAACCUGUCUGUGCAGUCUAUCGCACGCAUGGUGAAUCAUUUUGUUAUUUCAUUCUUUAUUAUUCUAUUAGAAUAACAUGUCUAUGUGGAUUACCACAUGCAUGGUAAAUGAUCCUUUAUAUUCAUUCCUAAUUAAAUUGUGGAAAUGAUCUGUUUACGUGGAUUAUGAUGAAAGUUAUAAUAUAAGCAUUGGACUGUUGAUUAUGAUGAAAGUCAUAAUAAAAGCAUUGGACUGAUGAAAAUCAUGGGUAUAUGUAGUAUUAGUAAGUGUUAUGAUGAGUUAUGUUGGUUAUUAUGUGAAAACAUGAAAGUUUCUUAGAAAUCACAAAGGGUUGAAAAUCAGAUUUUUGGUGAAAAUGGAACAUGAAAUUCAAUUGACCAUAUCUCCUAUUAUAUUUUAAAUUUUUGAGUGUGGUUAAGUUCUAGAGUUAGAUCUAUGAGUUUUUUAACUUAUCCAAGUGGAAUCACUGUAAAAGGUGUUGUAGAUUUUCGUGUGGGUUGAUUUUAGCAAAGGAGUCAAAAGCUGCAAAUUACAAAAAGGCUACUGCCCAGAAGUUUAAAAGGGCUGUUUCGGCCACUUAAUUUAUGAAAAAAAUUCCGGCCUUUUGGGACAUGGAAAUAUAUGGUAUAAAGUACCUCCUGUCCAAAAAUGAGCUCAUUCUGACUUAAAAUGAGCAAGUUAUGACUAUUUCAAUAUUUAGGUUUUUCUGACGAAAAAUGCUAUAACCGGAGUUCUAUAACUCCAAUGACCAUGAAAUUUAAACUGGAAGAUCACAUUAACAUGUGUAAGAUCCUGCCAAGAUUUGGGAAUUUCUGGAGUUAAACUUGAGAUAGCUAAUUUCUUAGGGAAUUAAUUAGAAAUUAAUUUUUGAAAAAUAGUAAAUAAAUUUUAAAAAUUUCGAGAAAAAAAUAUGUUCAAUAUGGGACUAUAUUCUGCUAAAUCUCAGAAAAGAAAUAUUUUUGGGACUAAUUUGGUAUUUUUCAUGAAAAUGAUAUAGUUAUGAGUAAAUGAGUUAAAUAUGUUAUGUGAAGUAAGAAAGUUGGAAAAUAGGAUUUUAUGGCUUGGAAAUCCUAUAUAGGGUAUAUGCAGAUUUUUGAUGAGGGAUUUGAUCAUUGGUGAUGAAAUCUUAUGAGUAUGACAUUUUUGAAUGAUUAAAUGCAUUAUUUGGUAAAGUGUAAACAAUUGAAAUAAAUUAUUUAUAAGUUUAAGAAGUGAUUAAAAUAUUGUUAUAAUAUUAAUAAUAUUAGAUUAUGAGUUUAUUAAGUGAUUGAUAAUAUUUGGAUAAAUUUAAAGUCUUUAAUAUUUAUCCUUGUUUUCGUUUGAUUAAUGUUUAUAUCAUUGUCAUCAUUCUCAUGCUUGUGUUGUGUUGAAAGUCAUCUGUGGCUUGUAGUGCAUAGAUGGACUUGGUAUGAUUAUGAUCAGGGGUUAUUCGGUAUACUCAUGACCGUAAUGUUAUAAAUGAUGUGGUAAAAGUCAUCUUUGGCCCGUAGUGCAUAGAUAGACUUGGUAUGAUUAUGACCAAGGAUUAUUCGAUAUAAUCAUGACCGUAAUGGAAAACACGAAUAUCCUUGACCCGUAGUACAUGGAUAAUUCAUGGUCGUGAUACUAUUAAGCUGAGUCUCAGCAUUAUUGGUUUUACAGUUGUAUAUCUUUGGCCUGUAGUGCAAAGAUGAACUGUUGAUUAUUGGUUAUACAGUUGUAUAUCUUUGGCCGUAGUGCAAAAGAUGAAUUUAUUAGAAUGAUUAUGAGCAGGAAUUAUGAUUUGGUAUAACCAUAAUUUUUGAUGUUUCAGGUGAUGUAAAUUAUCUUCGUCCUGGGUGUGAAAAGGAAUUUAGAAUCACAAUUAUGAUUAUGAGUUAUUCAUAUAAUUGUGGACAGGAAUUGUUGAUUGAUGUUACAGGGAUAAAAAAAUAUUGACGGACUUUUAACAUGGAGAAGAUAAUAGACUUGAUGGUCUAUUUGACUCUUUUAAUGGAUUUCUCGUUCCGCUGCAACUAUGGUUGAAAAGUUUUAUCAUCUACCAUAUGUUCUAAAUCUCUGAUUUGUUAUUGACGAAGGCUAUUGAUAAUUUAAUUAUCUUUAGUCAUGAUAUUCUUUACUGGGCUAGUUGUGCUCACCCUUUUUGCUUCACGAUUCCUUUCAGGUAAUAAGAGUGUUGCCGAGUCAAGCAGGGAUAACAGAGGAAUAGAACGGUGGUUUAUAGCUGUUGAG
RNAcentral lists this long non-coding RNA (2693 nucleotides) under Panax ginseng (ginseng). RNAcentral describes it as "long non-coding RNA (PGIN_LNC016882)". Lineage: Eukaryota; Viridiplantae; Streptophyta; Magnoliopsida; Apiales; Araliaceae. The record is from RNAcentral.